CCUAGUAACGGCGAGUGAAGCGCGCAAUAGCUCAAAUUUGAAAGCUGGCCUUUGGUCCGCAUUGUAAUUUGUAGAGGAUGCUUUUAGGCAGCCGCCGGUCUAAGUUCCUUGGAACAGGACGUCAUAGAGGGUGAGAAUCCCGUAUGUGACCGGCUCAGGCACCUUCUGUAAAGCUCCUUCGACGAGUCGAGUUGUUUGGGAAUGCAGCUCUAAAUGGGAGGUAAAUUUCUUCUAAAGCUAAAUACUGGCGAGAGACCGAUAGCGCACAAGUAGAGUGAUCGAAAGAUGAAAAGUACUUUGGAAAGAGAGUUAAAAAGCACGUGAAAUUGUUGAAAGGGAAGCGCUUGCAAUCAGACUUGGCCUCGGUUGUUCAACCGGUCUUUUGACCGGCCUAUUCAAUCGGGGGCAGGCCAGCAUCAGUUUCGGCGGCCGGAUAAAGGCCUUGGGAAUGUGGCCUCUCCUUCGGGGGAGGUGUUAUAGCCCAGGGUGUAAUACGGUCAGCUGGGACUGAGGUCCGCGCUUCGGCUAGGAUGCUGGCGUAAUGGUUGUAAGCGGCCCGUCUUGAAACACGGACCAAGGAGUCUAACAUCUAUGCGAGUGUUAGGGUGUCAAACCCUUACGCGUAAUGAAAGUGAACGGAGGUGGGAACCCGCAAGGGUGCACCAUCGACCGAUCCUGAUGUCUUCGGAUGGAUUUGAGUAAGAGCAUAGCUGUUGGGACCCGAAAGAUGGUGAACUAUGCCUGAAUAGGGUGAAGCCAGAGGAAACUCUGGUGGAGGCUCGCAGCGGUUCUGACGUGCAAAUCGAUCGUCAAAUUUGGGGUAUAG
RNAcentral lists this ribosomal RNA (826 nucleotides) under Sydowia polyspora. RNAcentral describes it as "LSU rRNA". It matches the Rfam family "Eukaryotic large subunit ribosomal RNA", at positions 79 to 920 of the family's 3401-position model. Lineage: Eukaryota; Fungi; Ascomycota; Dothideomycetes; Dothideales; Dothioraceae. The record is from RNAcentral.